This 253-nucleotide ribosomal RNA is filed under the name uncultured bacterium. Its description in RNAcentral is "partial 16S ribosomal RNA". It matches the Rfam family "Bacterial small subunit ribosomal RNA", at positions 524 to 776 of the family's 1533-position model. The record is from RNAcentral.
UACGGAGGGUGCAAGCGUUAUCCGGAUUCACUGGGUUUAAAGGGCGCGUAGGCGGGCUGCCAAGUCCGGGGUGAAAUCUUUCGGCUCAACCGGAAAAGUGCCUUGGAAACUGGCGGCCUCGAGGGGGGUAGGGGCCUGUGGAACUUCGGGUGGAGCGGUGAAAUGCGUUGAUAUCCGAAGGAACGCCGGUGGCGAAAGCGACGGGCUGGACCCCUUCUGACGCUGAGGCGCGAAAGCCAGGGGAGCAAACGGG